CCUACGGGAGGCAGCAGUGGGAAUAUUGCACAAUGGGCGCAAGCCUGAUGCAGCCAUGCCGCGUGUGUGAAGAAGGCCUUCGGGUUGUAAAGCACUUUCAGCGGGGAGGAAGGCGGUGAGGCUAAUAACCUCAUCGAUUGACGUUACCCGCAGAAGAAGCACCGGCUAACUCCGUGCCAGCAGCCGCGGUAAUACGGAGGGUGCAAGCGUUAAUCGGAAUUACUGGGCGUAAAGCGCACGCAGGCGGUCUGUCAAGUCGGAUGUGAAAUCCCCGGGCUCAACCUGGGAACUGCAUUCGAAACUGGCAGGCUAGAGUCUUGUAGAGGGGGGUAGAAUUCCAGGUGUAGCGGUGAAAUGCGUAGAGAUCUGGAGGAAUACCGGUGGCGAAGGCGGCCCCCUGGACAAAGACUGACGCUCAGGUGCGAAAGCGUGGGGAGCAAACAGGAUUAGAUACCCGGGUAGUC
Molecule: ribosomal RNA, 464 nt
Filed under: uncultured Klebsiella sp.
Lineage: Bacteria; Pseudomonadati; Pseudomonadota; Gammaproteobacteria; Enterobacterales; Enterobacteriaceae
Description: bacterial SSU rRNA
Rfam family: Bacterial small subunit ribosomal RNA
Source: RNAcentral